AGCGAACGCUGGCGGCAGGCCUAACACAUGCAAGUCGAACGAACUCUUCGGAGUUAGUGGCGGACGGGUGAGUAACACGUGGGAACGUGCCUUUAGGUUCGGAAUAACUCAGGGAAACUUGAGCUAAUACCGGAUGUGCCCUUCGGGGGAAAGAUUUAUCGCCUUUAGAGCGGCCCGCGUCUGAUUAGCUAGUUGGUGAGGUAAAGGCUCACCAAGGCGACGAUCAGUAGCUGGUCUGAGAGGAUGAUCAGCCACAUUGGGACUGAGACACGGCCCAAACUCCUACGGGAGGCAGCAGUGGGGAAUCUUGCGCAAUGGGCGAAAGCCUGACGCAGCCAUGCCGCGUGAAUGAUGAAGGUCUUAGGAUUGAAAAAUUCUUUCACCGGGGACGAUAAUGACGGUACCCGGAGAAGAAGCCCCGGCUAACUUCGUG
RNAcentral lists this ribosomal RNA (433 nucleotides) under uncultured bacterium. Its description in RNAcentral is "partial 16S ribosomal RNA". It matches the Rfam family "Bacterial small subunit ribosomal RNA", at positions 29 to 507 of the family's 1533-position model. The record is from RNAcentral.